CCCGCCGCAGUACUGAUCAUUCUAUUUCCCCCUCUAUUGAUCCCCACCUCCAAAUACCUCAUCAACAACCGACUAAUUACCACCCAACAAUGACUAAUCCAACUAACCUCAAAACAAAUGAUAGCCAUACACAACACUAAAGGGCGAACCUGAUCUCUUAUACUAGUAUCCUUAAUCAUUUUUAUUGCCACAACUAAUCUUCUCGGGCUCCU
This 212-nucleotide long non-coding RNA is filed under the name Homo sapiens (human). Its description in RNAcentral is "lncAB310.1". Lineage: Eukaryota; Metazoa; Chordata; Mammalia; Primates; Hominidae. The record is from RNAcentral.